UCAUGGGAAAUACGUACCUCUGCACACUUUUUUGCAGCGCCACAAAUAUGUACCAAUAGGCACGUAUUGCUACAGUUUUGAAAAACAAACGUCCACUGGGGUCGCUAAAGAGAAGAACUCCAUAUGACAUUACAUUAGGAGUUGCAUUUCAUUACAUCGCGAGAUUUAACAACGCAUUGGUGUGCCACUCUGGGUGGCUCCGGCACACUCGUGGCUACGCCGCGCCGUGACCCAAAUCUCAUUCGCACAUCAUCGCGAUAUUUAUCAUCAAUUUACAAAUGUCAUCACAUCUCGUUUCUUCACAUACAUCUCAUACUCCUCCAUCUACACGCUCCACAACAUUUUAACCAACGGCUCUUUUAAGAGCCAUCACUUGCAAAAGCUUUCCUACUCACUCACUCACUCACUCACUCACUCACUCACUCUCUCUCCUACUCACUCACUCACUCACUCACUCACUCUCUCUCCUACUCACUCACUCACUCACUCACUCACUCACUCACUCACUCACUCACUCUCUCUCCUACUCACUCACUCACUCACUCACCCUCCAACUCACUCACUCACUCUCCUACUCACUCACUCACUCACUCUCUCUCCUACUCACUCACUCACUCACUCACUCACUCUCUCUCCUACUCACUCACUCACUCACUCACUCACCCUCCAACUCACUCACUCUCUCUCCUACUCACUCACUCACUCACUCACUCACUCACUCUCUCUCCUACUCACUCACUCACUCACUCACUCACUCACUCACUCACUCACUCACUCACUCUCUCUCCUACUCACUCACUCACUCACUCACUCACUCACUCACUCACCCUCCAACUCACUCACUCACUCUCCUAUAGGGAUGUGCAAAAAAAGCGAUUCUCAUGCGUGUUUCAUCAGUAAA
Molecule: long non-coding RNA, 901 nt
Organism: Paramisgurnus dabryanus
Lineage: Eukaryota; Metazoa; Chordata; Actinopteri; Cypriniformes; Cobitidae
Source: RefSeq, a predicted model, not a curated record